This 429-nucleotide ribosomal RNA is filed under the name uncultured bacterium. RNAcentral describes it as "bacterial SSU rRNA". It matches the Rfam family "Bacterial small subunit ribosomal RNA", at positions 917 to 1341 of the family's 1533-position model. The record is from RNAcentral.
GGGCCCGCACAAGCGGUGGAGCAUGUGGCUUAAUUCGAGGCUACGCGAAGAACCUUAUCCUAGAUUUGACAUGCUUGAGAAUUCCUUCGAAAGAAGGAAGUGCCCCUCGGGGAGCUUUUGCACAGGUGCUGCAUGGCUGUCGUCAGCCCGUGUCGUGAGAUGUCGGGUUAAGUCCCUUAACGAGCGAAACCCUUAUCUCUAGUUGCCAGCGGGUAAUGCCGGGGACUCUAGAGAGACUGCCGGUGUCAAACCGGAGGAAGGUGGGGAUGACGUCAAGUCCUCAUGGCCUUUAUGUCUAGGGCUGCACACGUCCUACAAUGGUACGGACAAACGGACGCGAAACCGCGAGGUGGAGCAAAUCCUAAAAACCGUGCCUCAGUUCGGAUUGCAGGCUGCAACUCGCCUGCAUGAAGCCGGAAUCGCUAGUAA